AUGAAUACACUUGUUCGCAACGGCACUCUGACCUUCAGCCGCAGACACAGAUAUGAACUUGUCAGUCUUCAAAGGAAAGAAACCUGUCUCAAAUCUAUCAGCUACAGACGAAGAAGAGCGAAACAAAGGAAAAUAUUUCUCACAACUUAUAAACUAUCUUCUUUGAAUCAUUUUGUAGAGCCUAAAAGGCCUAAGAUUAAAAGGGCCGCUCUUAAGUUUUUCAUUGUGUGA
Molecule: non-coding RNA, 231 nt
Organism: Vicia faba (fava bean)
Lineage: Eukaryota; Viridiplantae; Streptophyta; Magnoliopsida; Fabales; Fabaceae
Source: the annotation of a GenBank genome assembly